This 1112-nucleotide long non-coding RNA is filed under the name Theobroma cacao (cacao). Its description in RNAcentral is "long non-coding RNA (TCAC_LNC000217)". The record is from RNAcentral. Lineage: Eukaryota; Viridiplantae; Streptophyta; Magnoliopsida; Malvales; Malvaceae.
UUUUCGUUAUUUUAUAUAUGACACUACAUUGUAAAACAACUCUUAAGAGAAUAAAUUAUAAUCAAAAUCAACUAUCUACAGUAAUCAUAAAACAAAAGAAGAGAGAUGUGCUUAAAAAGUCACUUCCAACCAACAUGACCAUGUCUUGUUAAACUCAUGCAUAGGGGAAAAAUAUUCUGAGAUGGAGAAUUGAUUUGUUAGCAAAACUUCCUUUGAGAUAUAUCUGUACUCAGUAGGGACAAUCUGCAAUACAAUAAAAAGAACACUUGGAUGAGAGAUUUCAAGAUUAAAACAACUACUUUUUAAAGGAAUAAAAGAAAAGAAAGAUAAAGGGGCAAACUAAUGUUCCAUCUUUACCAUAGAAGUAGUAUAAGUGAAUGUGUUAAAAUGCAACAUGAAAUAACCUGUUACUAUUUAACGAAACUCCAAUAAAAGUUUCCACUUGUGUUGGAAACUCUCAGAUUCAAACAAAUUUCUAAUUUACACAUUUUUCCAAUACCCAAACGUUCCAUGCAUCAAAACCCAUAAUCAAAUCUACUAAAUAUAGUUAAAAUACCCAAAAAAAUAAAAACUUCAAAAAAAAGUUCAGGUUUUGAUUUGCAUAAUCAAAUCUAUUAUAUAUAGAUAAAAUAUCCAUUAAACAAAAACUUUAAAGAAAAGUUUAGGUUUUGAUUUUCAUAAUCACAUCUACUAAAGAUAGCUAAAAUGCUUAAAAAAAUAAAAACUUCAAAGAAAGUUUGGCUUUUCAUCUAUUUUGUAAAUUUCUAACAGGAUUCUUCACCGACUGUCUCCUGAACUAUUCUUCAUCUCUUUUUGAAUCCAUUACAACUUUCAAAAAGUAGACUUUCAUCUCUUUUUUUUCUUUUCCGUUUUUUUCCCUUCUCUAAACAAAACAAGCUCACAAAAAAAAGGUUAAUUAACAGUUAUAGUAUAUGCAUGCAAAUAGAGCGACCAGAAGACAUGGAAGAGUAGACGACUUGUUGAGAAGGCUGGACGAUUUGAUUAAGAAAGAAAUUUUUGAAUGUCCCAUACAGGGAAAAAGAUAAGAAAAAAAGAACCUAUACAAGAAGAAAAAGAAAUGAGUCUGAGCAUAAGAAAGAAAAACACAACAC